UACGAGGGGGGCAAAUGUUGUUCGGAAUCACUGGGCGUAAAGGGAGCGUAGGCGGGUUUCUAAGUCAGGUGUUUAAUCCCGGGGCCCAACCCCGGACAGGCACUUGAAACUGGGAAUCUUGAAUAGUGGAGAGGUCAGUGGAAUUGGAGGUGUAGCGGUGGAAUGCGUAGAGAUCUCCAAGAACACCGGUGGCGAAAGCGGCUCACUGGACCGUGUCUGACGCUGAUGAGCGAAAGCGUGGGGAGCAAACAGG
Molecule: ribosomal RNA, 253 nt
Filed under: uncultured bacterium
Lineage: Bacteria
Description: partial 16S ribosomal RNA
Rfam family: Bacterial small subunit ribosomal RNA
Source: RNAcentral